GAGGGUAUAGCUCAGUGGUAGAGCGCGUGCUUAGCACACAUGUGGUCCUGGGUUCAAUCCCCAGCGCCUCCA
This 72-nucleotide transfer RNA is filed under the name Camelus ferus (Wild Bactrian camel). It matches the Rfam family "tRNA". Rfam says of the family: Transfer RNA (tRNA) molecules are approximately 80 nucleotides in length. Their secondary structure includes four short double-helical elements and three loops (D, anti-codon, and T loops). Lineage: Eukaryota; Metazoa; Chordata; Mammalia; Artiodactyla; Camelidae. The record is from Rfam by way of RNAcentral.